CGAACGCUGGCGGCGUGCCUAAUACAUGCAAGUCGAACGCUUCUUUCCUCCCGAGUGCUUGCACUCAAUUGGAAAGAGGAGUGGCGGACGGGUGAGUAACACGUGGGUAACCUACCCAUCAGAGGGGGAUAACACUUGGAAACAGGUGCUAAUACCGCAUAACAGUUUAUGCCGCAUGGCAUAAGAGUGAAAGGCGCUUUCGGGUGUCGUUGAUGGAUGGACCCGCGGUGCAUUAGCUAGUUGGUGAGGUAACGGCUCACCAAGGCCACGAUGCAUAGCCGACCUGAGAGGGUGAUCGGCCACACUGGGACUGAGACACGGCCCAGACUCCUACGGGAGGCAGCAGUAGGGAAUCUUCGGCAAUGGACGAAAGUCUGACCGAGCAACGCCGCGUGAGUGAAGAAGGUUUUCGGAUCGCAAAACUCUGUUGUUAGAGAAGAACAAGGACGUUAGUAACUGAACGUCCCCUGACGGUAUCUAACCAGAAAGCCACGGCUAACUACGUG
This 506-nucleotide ribosomal RNA is filed under the name uncultured bacterium. RNAcentral's name for it is "partial 16S ribosomal RNA". It matches the Rfam family "Bacterial small subunit ribosomal RNA", at positions 30 to 507 of the family's 1533-position model. The record is from RNAcentral.